RNAcentral lists this long non-coding RNA (287 nucleotides) under Mytilus galloprovincialis (Mediterranean mussel). Lineage: Eukaryota; Metazoa; Mollusca; Bivalvia; Mytilida; Mytilidae. The record is from RNAcentral.
GGGACCUUCAUCUUCAAUUUCAGGUCAUGAUGAAAUUUAACCUUGACCUUCAAAGUGUACUAUGACCUUGACCUUUUGACAUUUUUUCUACAAUGUUGUUCUUCAACUGCAGAUCUUUUAUCACUUAACAGAUUUGAGAUAUCUGCUGUAGUUUUAGAGAUAAUUAAGGUUUAAGUUUUGCGAGCGGAGGCAUGUAUUUUUGAAGCAACAACAGGUUACCACCUGAUAUUAUCUGAAAUUGAAGAGUUUAACAUGGUUAUAUGUUUGACCAAAUAACAAAAACAUUC